This 1344-nucleotide ribosomal RNA is filed under the name uncultured bacterium. RNAcentral's name for it is "16S ribosomal RNA". It matches the Rfam family "Bacterial small subunit ribosomal RNA", at positions 28 to 1378 of the family's 1533-position model. The record is from RNAcentral.
GACGAACGCUGGCGGCGUGCUUAACACAUGCAAGUCGAACGGAAAGGCCCUGCUUUUGUGGGGUGCUCGAGUGGCGAACGGGUGAGUAACACGUGAGUAACCUGCCCUUGACUUUGGGAUAACUUCAGGAAACUGGGGCUAAUACCGGAUAGGAGCUCCUGCUGCAUGGUGGGGGUUGGAAAGUUUCGGCGGUUGGGGAUGGACUCGCGGCUUAUCAGCUUGUUGGUGGGGUAGUGGCUUACCAAGGCUUUGACGGGUAGCCGGCCUGAGAGGGUGACCGGCCACAUUGGGACUGAGAUACGGCCCAGACUCCUACGGGAGGCAGCAGUGGGGAAUAUUGCACAAUGGGCGGAAGCCUGAUGCAGCAACGCCGCGUGCGGGAUGACGGCCUUCGGGUUGUAAACCGCUUUCGCCUGUGACGAAGCGUGAGUGACGGUAAUGGGUAAAGAAGCACCGGCUAACUACGUGCCAGCAGCCGCGGUGAUACGUAGGGUGCGAGCGUUGUCCGGAUUUAUUGGGCGUAAAGGGCUCGUAGGUGGUUGAUCGCGUCGGAAGUGUAAUCUUGGGGCUUAACCCUGAGCGUGCUUUCGAUACGGGUUGACUUGAGGAAGGUAGGGGAGAAAUGGAAUUCCUGGUGGAGCGGUGGAAUGCGCAGAUAUCAGGAGGAACACCAGUGGCGAAGGCGGUUCUCUGGGCCUUUCCUGACGCUGAGGAGCGAAAGCGUGGGGAGCGAACAGGCUUAGAUACCCUGGUAGUCCACGCUGUAAACGGUGGGUACUAGGUGUGGGGUCCAUUCCACGGGUUCCGUGCCGUAGCUAACGCUUUAAGUACCCCGCCUGGGGAGUACGGCCGCAAGGCUAAAACUCAAAGGAAUUGACGGGGCCCCGCACAAGCGGCGGAGCAUGCGGAUUAAUUCGAUGCAACGCGUAGAACCUUACCUGGGUUUGACAUGGAUCGGGAGUGCUCAGAGAUGGGUGUGCCUCUUUUGGGGUCGGUUCACAGGUGGUGCAUGCCUGUCGUCAGCUCGUGUCGUGAGAUGUUGGGUUAAGUCCCGCAACGAGCGCAACCCUUGUUCACUGUUGCCAGCACGUUAUGGUGGGGACUCAGUGGAGACCGCCGGGGUCAACUCGGAGGAAGGUGGGGAUGACGUCAAGUCAUCAUGCCCCUUAUGUCCAGGGCUUCACGCAUGCUACAAUGGCUGGUACAGAGAGUGGCGAGCCUGUGAGGGUGAGCGAAUCUCGGAAAGCCGGUCUCAGUUCGGAUUGGGGUCUGCAACUCGACCUCAUGAAGUCGGAGUCGCUAGUAAUCGCAGAUCAGCAACGCUGCGGUGAAUACGUUCCCGGG